UCGCUACACGAUAUGCAAUAUCCGCGUGUCUGAUUGAUGCUCUUUCACCAAGUGUGAGUUCACAAGGGACAGGCAUGGUCAGCUUUCCUUGCACACAAAUGGAUUCCCAGGCCCCGAAGAACACCAACCACCCUGGACUCCGGAUCAGCGUUGGUCGGAGUAAUGAGUGGAGUAAGAGAAGGAAUCAGACAUGACCUUCACAUUGGCUGCAGAUCGUUGCUGGAAUGAAACCCAGGACUUCACACACGCAGGCCAGUACGCAGCCACUGAGGUGCACCCCCAGCCCAACCUCAGAAACAUCCCAGAUUCCACAGUAAGUACUCGGUAUGGAGAUGCAGAGAUAGGAAGAGAAGUACAUGUACAAAGUGGAGGACUCCUAACAGCCAGUCACGAGGCCUGAAUUCCUGAACCCAGGACAAAGACAUUAGAAAUGCAACCGAAAUGUAGAACUCACCUGAAGAUCUCUUUAAAGUCCAAUUUUUUUUCACUUUGGUCUAAAUAAGAUAAAUGUUAAGAUAGAUGGAUGUUCCUAAAUCAGGAAAAUCCAGGUUACAGU
Molecule: non-coding RNA, 556 nt
Organism: Ictidomys tridecemlineatus (thirteen-lined ground squirrel)
Lineage: Eukaryota; Metazoa; Chordata; Mammalia; Rodentia; Sciuridae
Source: RefSeq, a predicted model, not a curated record